GACGAACGCUGGCGGCGUGCUUAACACAUGCAAGUCGAACGGAAAGGCCCUGCUUUUGUGGGGUGCUCGAGUGGCGAACGGGUGAGUAACACGUGAGUAACCUGCCCUUGACUUUGGGAUAACUUCAGGAAACUGGGGCUAAUACCGGAUAGGAGCUCCUGCUGCAUGGUGGGGGUUGGAAAGUUUCGGCGGUUGGGGAUGGACUCGCGGCUUAUCAGCUUGUUGGUGGGGUAGUGGCUUACCAAGGCUUUGCCGGGUAGCCGGCCUGAGAGGGUGACCGGCCACAUUGGGACUGAGAUACGGCCCAGACUCCUAAGGGAGGCAGCAGUGGGGAAUAUUGCACAAUGGGCGGAAGCCUGAUGCAGCAAAGCCGCGUGCGGGAUGACGGCCUUCGGGUUGUAAACCGCUUUCGCCUGUGACGAAGCGUGAGUGACGGUAAUGGGUAAAGAAGCACCGGCUAACUACGUG
RNAcentral lists this ribosomal RNA (468 nucleotides) under uncultured bacterium. RNAcentral describes it as "partial 16S ribosomal RNA". It matches the Rfam family "Bacterial small subunit ribosomal RNA", at positions 28 to 507 of the family's 1533-position model. The record is from RNAcentral.